RNAcentral lists this non-coding RNA (781 nucleotides) under Paracymoriza prodigalis. The record is from RNAcentral. Lineage: Eukaryota; Metazoa; Arthropoda; Insecta; Lepidoptera; Crambidae.
AAUAAAUUUAUUAUGGUUUAAAAUAAUUUAUUUAUAGUUUAUUUUACAUAUAAAUUUUUGUAUUAAAUUAUUAUUAUUUUAAAAAUAUUUAAUUAAAAUUUAAGUAGUAAUUAAUAUUAAAAAUUUAAGAAAUUAAGAUUUAGUAAUAUUAAAAUUAAUAACAAAUUUUGUGCCAGCAGUUGCGGUUAUACAAAAAUUAAGUUAAAUUUUAUUAGUAAUUUAAUAAUUAAGUAUAAUAUUUAAUUAAAUUUUAAAUUAUUAAGUGAAAUUUUAAUUUAAAUAAAAUUAAUAUUAAAUUUAAUAUUUAAUAAAUUUUAAAAAUAAACUAGGAUUAGAUACCCUAUUAUAAAAAAAUUUAAAUUUAAUACUAAAAUAUUAGAUGAUUAUUCAUUGAAACUUAAAUAAGUUGGCGGUAUUUUAGUUUAUUUAGAGGAAUCUGUUUAAUAAUUGAUAAUCCACGAAUAAAUUUACUUAAUUUAUAAUUUUGUAUAUCGUUGUUUAAAAAAUAUUUUUAAAUAAUAAUAAUAUUUUAAAUUUAAUAAAUAAAAAUUAAAUCAGAUCAAGAUGCAGAUAAUAAUUAAGAAUAUAAUGGAUUACAAUAAAUUUAUUUAAAUGAAUUUUAAUUUGUAAAAAUUAAUUGAAGGUGGAUUUAAAUGUAAUUUUAUUUAAUUUAUUAAAAUGAUUUAAAAUUAAAAUAUGUACAUAUUGCCCGUCGCUUUCAUAAAUAAAUUGAAAUAAGUCGUAACAAAGUAGAGGUACUGGAAAGUGUUUCUAGAAAUAA